UAAUUGAAGAGUUUGAUCAUGGCUCAGAUUGAACGCUGGCGGCAGGCCUAACACAUGCAAGUCGAGCGGUAACAGGGGAAGCUUGCUUCUCGCUGACGAGCGGCGGACGGGUGAGUAAUGUAUGGGGAUCUGCCCGAUAGAGGGGGAUAACUACUGGAAACGGUAGCUAAU
RNAcentral lists this ribosomal RNA (171 nucleotides) under Providencia rettgeri. RNAcentral's name for it is "partial 16S ribosomal RNA". It matches the Rfam family "Bacterial small subunit ribosomal RNA", at positions 1 to 167 of the family's 1533-position model. Lineage: Bacteria; Pseudomonadati; Pseudomonadota; Gammaproteobacteria; Enterobacterales; Morganellaceae. The record is from RNAcentral.